GACCCCCUAAAAUUUUAUAGCAAAAAUUAAUAAUAGAAAGGGGAGGCUAAGACUCUAUCUAAAGUAUUCAGACACCCGUAAUCUCGUUGGCUAGAUCCACCACUGCUCAAAUGCACAGCCCACCCUCAUGAUUUCUCUAGCAACAGAAACCGGCAACAACAUUAUUCAGCAACAGGACUCCCCGUGGUCUAGUGCUUCACCGGUUCUCAUGAUAGGAGAAAAGGUCGUUGAAUUUGGAUGUAUGUUUAAGCUUGGUUGCUUUCAUGAAAUGAAACAACUUGCUGAAACUAGUACUUGGUCGACAGUCAAGAAGGACAUAUAUAUAUGUAAGGAGUAAUCACCAUGCUACAGAUGACUGCCUGGCAUUGUAUUUCGUUCAUGUUUCAGGUUUCUUGAUGGUUGAAUAGAAGACCAAGGUACCAGAAGAAAGAUAAGUGGACCAAAGGUGAGCUAAAAAAAAGAGGUUUCUAGAAACAAAUAGAUAAAGUUGUUUGCGCAUAUAAUUUUAUGAUUUGCUCCUUUAGUAAAAACUAUUUUGCUAAUAAAUCCUUAUCUUUUAGCAAAAAUUUAUUUAGAUUUUCAAAACAUUCAAAAUAUAUAUUUACAGCAGUGACAUGCUUAUGUGAGAAUGACUUAGUCUAUGGAUAACAUAUUAUGGAACAAUAGGAUCUUGUUGGAGUGGUGGGGGACUUUGGUGGCCAUGUGGCAUGGGAGAACAAAAACCCGAUUGCCAACUGUCACCCUUUCAUCAAGCCAACAAUAUGGACAUAUUGAAAACUCAGAAACCGUAUAUUCAUAUGAUUAAUUCUAUUUCUAUCGAUAGGUUCUUACAGUGGCGUUCUCUUUCUACGGAGUGCUAUAUGUGGGGUUAUAGGACAUCACGGAGAAUUCUAAUAUUUAGUUGUUUUAGUCUAUGUAAAUCAUGUCAUCAAUUUAAAAUAAGAAUAUUAUGUGUUAUGACAUGUAUAGCAUGCUCGGUAAUUUUCGUUGUUAGUUUGCCAAUGCAUGAAUUGUUUAGAUGUUUGAGAAAAAAAUAAUAUAAUAUGCAUAUUUCUUUCCUUAAGGGGCGGGGGGGGGGGGGUAAUGGUCGCGUUAACUUUUAUGAUGGUUUCAUAACGAAACACUUUUCUAUAGGCUUAAUGUUUUGUGCAUGAAUUUAAAAUAAAAUAUAAUUACUUUCUUAAAUAGAACAAGAUGUAUAUGCAUAGACUACAAAGUGUGUGUAACAAUGACAAAUAAGAGGAAGAGAAGAUAUCCGUGCACUAACGAAGACUGUUUAAGGCAGCAACUCAUAUAGAUGUAUAUCGUGUUAUGCCAUUUAUUGUUAGCAGCACAAUUUCAUUCAUAAAUUUUUGUUGACCAAUGUUUUCACCAGCAAUGAGUAGCGUCCUACAUUUUAUAUAGUAGGGAUGUUAAGAGUUGCGCAAAUUCUAGUCAUAUAUGAACAUUUUUACUGUCUUUAAUGUGCAACUUUGACCGUAGUUUUGUAUUAAAGUAUUUUACGAAAUCUCACAAAUUUUUUGACAUAAUGAUAGUAUUUUCAGGAAUAGUUUGGGUAAACCGGGAGGCUGGGAGGAGCUGGGACAUAAGUACGGGAAAAAUCUGGAUUGGGAGGUGUCAAGCCGGACUGAAACACUGGAAUUUCGGACUAGCUAGGAGGUGAUACGAACUAAUAAACAACGCGUCACAUGCUCUUUAGCGUGACCGUAUAACAUCGUAAUUUAUUAUCUGUUGUGAACUCAUUCAAAUUAAAAUUGAUGUCCAAAGUUUUCAAGUUUGGCUGAUCUUAUCCUAUAGAUUAAAUGUUUACAAAGAUUGUGUGUGUUUUAUCCAACUCCAUGUAGUGAAAAAUCUUCUCUGUAAUAACUGUUUUGCGAUUAAAUGUACUCUCUCAUUCAGCGAAAUAGCUAGCCUAUUUAAGCCACACAGGCACACACAUGAACGCAGCUUUAAAAUGUGCAUCUGUAUACAACCCUAUGAAAUGCAUUACGGUGCUCUUGUAGGACACCUACACCUCGUUGGAAUGGAAGGCACGAGGGAUUUGGGACGCACAACACGAGUUGUCGCCGUCUGGAUCAAAGGGUGAAGGAGUGAAUGGUAUGACCACGCAUGCAGAACCUCCUGCUAUAUCUGUGGCAAUAGAAGGUGGCAACAACAUUAUUCAGCAAAUUAAAGGACUCAUUGUUCUCCACUGCUUCACCGGUUCUCAUGAUAGAAAAGGCCGUGGUUUGGAUGCAUGGAUAUAUCCAUUU
RNAcentral lists this long non-coding RNA (2252 nucleotides) under Oryza brachyantha (malo sina). RNAcentral's name for it is "long non-coding RNA (OBRA_LNC001109)". Lineage: Eukaryota; Viridiplantae; Streptophyta; Magnoliopsida; Poales; Poaceae. The record is from RNAcentral.